UAUGUUAUAAGAAUAAAACGAACUAGAUUUUAAUCCGCGGUAUACCGCGGGACGAUUUAUUUUUUGAAAGUAAUAUAUAUUAAAAUUUGCAAAUUUUAUUUUUAUAAAAUAUUUAUAUUUUACAGUUUAUAAUUGUUAUUAAGUAACGUUAUACCACGAAUCCAUGAGACAAUUGUUAAAAAACUGAAGUUUUAACCCCUGUUAAAACAGCAUAUUAAUAAUAUUUUAAAAUUUUAUAAAUAUUGAUUCAAAUACAUCCACCAUAUAACCCAAUUACAAAAUAAAACCCGUUCUGUAAUUUCUUUACCCGUCCCGUGAUUUGUUUUUUAAUGUAGUAAUUUUUUAAAUUAAGAAUUAUUUUUUAUAUAUAAAAGUUUUGCAAAUUGUAUCAUUCUCUAAUACAUUUAUAUUUUAUAGUUUAAUUUUAUAUACAGUAACAUUAUACAUACCACAUAACAUUUUUGGUUUUAUAUAAUCUUUUCUAAAUUAGGAUGAUUUGAUAUGUUUAAUAUUAAUGGUCUUAAAAAUAAUAAAUUAAAGCUUUAACCCGUAUUAAAACGGUGAAUUAAUUAUAUUUUACUUUUUUUAUUAAUGUUGAUUCAAAAACCCGUCCCUCCAAAUCCGUCUUGCCAAAAAGUCAUUUAUUUUAUUAAUAUUAAUUUUGUUAAUGAUAUGACUCUGAAUUUUAAUCUAAACAUUUUAGCUAAUAACAUAAGAGUGCACCAUAUUUAUUUAAUAGGGGAAUGUACCAUAUGACCCGAAUGCACUUUUAUACAAAUCCACCAAAAAAGUCUUGCAAAAAUACUAUAGAGAUAAGAAACGAUAGUCGGUUUUGAUAGGUAUAAGAUUAGCAAAUAUAUUAGUUAGCUUAAAUUAGUUAAAGAAUACAAAUUGAAAAGCUAUAUUACACUUUAUUCGAAUAUAGUAUUAAAACUUAUAUAACAUAGAGAUUUGAUAAAUUUUUAAUUGUUGAAUACUUUUUUUGUGCUAAUUUUUAUGUGAUUAAGAUUUAAUUGAUUUCGUAUAUAAAAUAUUAAAUUGACUUAUUUGUUUAUUAUUUGGUAACAGAUAGAUAUUUGAAUAUUCAGUAUAUUUUGCUUCAGUUUAGGAAAUCUUUGAUGAUCCUUCUUUAGAUCCAAUAAGCCCUAUAAUCUAGAUAUUAACCUGCAGUAUACCGCAGGUAGGCUUAUAUUUUAGUUAAACUAAAU
RNAcentral lists this small RNA (1208 nucleotides) under Arabidopsis thaliana (thale cress). Its description in RNAcentral is "ATSL260860". Lineage: Eukaryota; Viridiplantae; Streptophyta; Magnoliopsida; Brassicales; Brassicaceae. The record is from RNAcentral.